AUUGAACGCUGGCGGCAUGCCUUACAUAUGCAAGUCGAACGGUAACAGGUUAAGCUGACGAGUGGCGAACGGGUGAGUAAUAUAUCGGAACGUGCCCAGUCGUGGGGGAUAACGUAGCGAAAGCUACGCUAAUACCGCAUACGAUCUACGGAUGAAAGCGGGGGAUCGCAAGACCUCGCGCGAUUGGAGCGGCCGAUAUCAGAUUAGGUUGUUGGUGAGGUAAAAGCUCACCAAGCCUGCGAUCUGUAGCUGGUCUGAGAGGACGACCAGCCACACUGGAACUGAGGCACGGUCCAGACUCCUACGGGAGGCAGCAGUGGGGAAUUUUGGACAAUGGACGCAAGUCUGAUCCAGCAAUGCCGCGUGCAGGACGAAGGCCUUCGGGUUGUAAACUGCUUUUGUACGGAACGAAACGGUGAGCUCUAAUACAGUUUGCUAAUGACGGUACCGUAAGAAUAAGCACCGGCUAACUACGUGCCAGCCGCCGCGGUAA
Molecule: ribosomal RNA, 493 nt
Filed under: uncultured bacterium
Lineage: Bacteria
Description: partial 16S ribosomal RNA
Rfam family: Bacterial small subunit ribosomal RNA
Source: RNAcentral